GAUGAACGCUGGCGGCGUGCCUAAUACAUGCAAGUCGAGCGAACAGACGAGGAGCUUGCUCCUCUGACGUUAGCGGCGGACGGGUGAGUAACACGUGGAUAACCUACCUAUAAGACUGGGAUAACUUCGGGAAACCGGAGCUAAUACCGGAUAAUAUAUUGAACCGCAUGGUUCAAUAGUGAAAGACGGUUUUGCUGUCACUUAUAGAUGGAUCCGCGCCGCAUUAGCUAGUUGGUAAGGUAACGGCUUACCAAGGCAACGAUGCGUAGCCGACCUGAGAGGGUGAUAAGCAACACUGGAACAGAGAAAAGGUCCAGACUGCUACGGGAGGGAGGAGGCGGGAAUAUUGGACAAUGGGCGAAAGCAUGAUCAAGCAAUACCGCGUGGGUGAAGAAGGCAUUAGGGUUGUAAAUCUCUGUUGUUGGGAAAGAAAAGAAGCAGGUUAAAACCCCGAUGUUCUGACGGGACCCAAAGAAUAAGCAACGGCUAACUUCGGG
This 497-nucleotide ribosomal RNA is filed under the name uncultured bacterium. RNAcentral's name for it is "partial 16S ribosomal RNA". It matches the Rfam family "Bacterial small subunit ribosomal RNA", at positions 28 to 507 of the family's 1533-position model. The record is from RNAcentral.